AACGAACGCUGGCGGCAUGCCUAACACAUGCAAGUCGAACGAGACCUUCGGGUCUAGUGGCGCACGGGUGCGUAACGCGUGGGAACCUGCCCUUAGGUUCGGAAUAACUCCCCGAAAGGGGUGCUAAUACCGGAUAAUGUCUUCGGACCAAAGAUUUAUCGCCUUUGGAUGGGCCCGCGUUGGAUUAGCUAGUUGGUAGGGUAAAAGCCUACCAAGGCGACGAUCCAUAGCUGGUCUGAGAGGAUGAUCAGCCACACUGGGACUGAGACACGGCCCAGACUCCUACGGGGGGAAGCAGGGGGGAAAUUGGGACAAGGGGCGAAACCCUGACCCGCCAAGGCCGGGUGGGGGAUGAGGGCCUUGGGGUUGUAAAGCUCUUUUCCCCGGGAUGAUAAUGACAGGACCGGGGGAAUAAGCCCCGGCAAACCCCGU
This 432-nucleotide ribosomal RNA is filed under the name uncultured bacterium. RNAcentral describes it as "partial 16S ribosomal RNA". It matches the Rfam family "Bacterial small subunit ribosomal RNA", at positions 29 to 506 of the family's 1533-position model. The record is from RNAcentral.